AAAAAAUCGUUUUUUUGGUUUUAUUCACUUUGAGUUCUCAGUUUUUGAAUAUUUUGAAUGUGAAAACAAAUUAAUUCGUUAAUAUUAUUAUUAUUGAGGUUCUCAGGACCACAAAAAUAAUAGAAAAUCAUCUAAAAGAUUUGGAAAUUGGAUUAUCUCUUCGUUCUCCCCACUGGUUAAGUGUUUUCUUUUUAAAAUCUUAAAUGGGAUUAGUGUUUGUUUUCCAAUUCCAUUUUGUUAUUGUUAAUCUUUUUCUCUCUAUCUCUUAACCGUUUAUUGUUUUUCUUUUGUUGGUUGAUUAAUUUACUGUUAAUUGAGUGAAUAAAUUUUGCUCAUCAAUUUAAAAAUUAAUCAAGGUAAAUUAUCUACUUGUUCACAUGGUGUUAAUUGACUGGUCAUUUACUUAAUCUAUUUAUUUAAUUUGGAUUAACAUUUACUACCGAAGGAGAAUUAAAAAAUUUUCCUACCUAUUGAUGUUUCUGAUUCCAUUGGAAGUGACCAGCUAAUCGAUACCGUUGAUGCAGUUACACUUGCGAUCCACAAUUUAGGUGACAAGGGUGGAUC
This is a long non-coding RNA of Panonychus citri (citrus red mite), 564 nucleotides long. RefSeq lists it as uncharacterized. The transcript is spliced from 3 exons. The record is from RefSeq and is a predicted model, not a curated record. Lineage: Eukaryota; Metazoa; Arthropoda; Arachnida; Trombidiformes; Tetranychidae.